This 2235-nucleotide long non-coding RNA is filed under the name Haliotis rubra (blacklip abalone). RNAcentral's name for it is "uncharacterized LOC124279354". The record is from RNAcentral. Lineage: Eukaryota; Metazoa; Mollusca; Gastropoda; Lepetellida; Haliotidae.
CCUCUUCCGGCAUAAGUGUGGGAUGAGAGGGCGAUUCUGACAAUGAGCUAUAAAUUAUUAUCAGAGUCCAACACUACAGACACAAAUGGCAAACAGUGAAAGGUGACACUGAAAGAAGAAGAGGCAAACAGCCCUAUAGUUUGUUUUCAUGCUCAAUAAGGACAUCCCAGCGAGGCAGUGAGGGUGUAUCAAGGAGCUUCUGGUGAUUAAGAGGCCUGUGUAUCGGAUCUAUUGUGUGUGGAGAGGACCAAACGGAUUAUAUAAAUAUGACUACAAUGAUGUCUUGGUUCAGUACCUUGAACAUGGUGCUGCUCAUGGAUCUGACUGAUGUUGCAGCUGGUGUCAUCCUACAGACGGAGAAGAUGGUCGUGCAGGGCGUUGCGUCCUACAUGAGAGCGUCGUGCGACUGUCCCGCGACACACAUAGUGCUGGUUCGGCCUGACACCAAGACAGUAGUUUUUGUAGCACAACAGUCGACUGCCAGAGUAAUUGUGAAGGUUAUUUGAGUGACCCGCUGUUUAGUAAUGAAACAACUCUGAGUGUUGUCAUUGUCAAGUUUCAAGCUGUUGAUGUGGGAACAUGGAAGCUGCGAUGUUGUGGCAAAGAAGUGAUGUCAACAAUAACAGAUGGAGCAGAAACUAUAUCAAGACGUCCAACCAUCCUGCGCGACCCCGUACCGCCAACAGAACAUCUCGGGGGGCGAGCAGAUGGGGCCGCACGAUCACACACGACAAAUCGACUGUUCGCAAAAGCUACACGUUUCCCCACCACCGACAGGACACCUCGGAGGACAGGUUCUGUCCCUCAUCCAGCAUCCAGCACUGGAAAUACACUUCCCAAUUCUAACAUCGUCCUCAACAUGUCACUGAUAAUGACAUCCAUCUUUUUACUGAUGUUUGUAAAUGUUUUUUAAUCUUGACCCAAUCAAUACAUAGUUGCACAGUGUAUAUGGUCUCUGCUCUGAAGCAUGAGCGUGUCGGCCAGUGCAGCAGCCGAGAGAUGACCUAAUGGGACUAGUGAAUGGACACACAAACAGCUGUUUCCAGGGACACUCAAGGUACCCGGAUGUAAACUAUUGACCUUUGUCACGCUCACGAGCCAGAUCCUGAGUAUUCACUCACCAAUUUCACCAAGUGCUUUACGUCAGAGACAUGCAGCACUUCCGGCUUUCCUGCCACAGCCGGCAGCCAUGACAUACAGGAAUACAGAGAGUUGGUAAAAAAAAACCCAACUCACUCACGUAAUUUUAUGAGGAAAUUAACAGUAAUUGACGUGGUUCUAUUCUUGUCUUUAUUAUCACCCGUUGUUUGCCACAAAAAGCUGUAUUGUUAAAAUUCUUUCUAAAUUUGGAAAUAUAACAGCAAUGAAAAGUUUUGUGUAGGUUUUGAGAGUAUAAAAAGACAGCAUAACAGCAGGUUAUAAUGUCCAUGACAUUGACGUUAAGAGUCCAGGUUCGGGGCAGGGGUCAACCACCAAUGCCACCGAUGUCACCAGCUCAGUGACGUGUAUGCCUACCCCGAGCACAGCAGUCCAUCGCCGACGCAUGGAGUCUAUCAAAUAGGCUGGAAGGCAAGUGGAAUGGCUUCCCAAAUUCUCUGUAAAUCUGUGGCUAAAUCAGGAACGUUAUCCGGCGGAACACGGCGUAGAUGUCGCUCUAUUUCCUCCCACGCAUGCUCUGUAGGGAUCCGGUGAAUCUGCAGGCCAAGGCAGUUUUGUUAUAUUGUGCUGUGGAAGAAAGCCCCAUCAACCUAUAGCCGCUUGUGGGCAUGGAGUGGUAAUCGUGGUCCAGGGCGGUGAAGAAACGGAAUUGUUCUCUUCAGCCCACACCUGUCAAAUUGCCCCGAGCAACAUCUAAAGAUUUUCUCCAACGUGCACUUAUCCCACCCCCCAGUCAUCACGGAACCAUCCCAAUUCCUCUCCAAGACACAGGCUUGAAUACAAAGCUUCCCAAGACGUCUGUAGACACGUUGACCUCCUUCACUAUGGAAAAUGUUUAAUUGUCUGUGAAAAGUCCUCCACCAUAACCGAAAUUGACAGGAUUUCGGCACCACCUUUCACGGCUUUCACGAUGACAUUGCGUCAGGAUAGGUCGUAUGGCGGGACGAGUCAUGUCCCAUAAUGAAGCAAGCGGUUCCUGACUGUGUUGGAGUUGAUACGCCGAAGUCUUGGAAUGGCCUGAACAGUGGUGCCUGCAGUCUGAGACCAGUGUCGGAGAUGGGGCACCCGCAUCUAUCU